This 278-nucleotide ribosomal RNA is filed under the name uncultured Staphylococcus sp. RNAcentral's name for it is "partial 16S ribosomal RNA". It matches the Rfam family "Bacterial small subunit ribosomal RNA", at positions 83 to 355 of the family's 1533-position model. Lineage: Bacteria; Bacillati; Bacillota; Bacilli; Caryophanales; Staphylococcaceae. The record is from RNAcentral.
CCUUUGACGUUAGCGGCGGACGGGUGAGUAACACGUGGGUAACCUACCUAUAAGACUGGGAUAACUUCGGGAAACCGGAGCUAAUACCGGAUAAUAUUUCGAACCGCAUGGUUCGAUAGUGAAAGAUGGUUUUGCUAUCACUUAUAGAUGGACCUGCGCCGUAUUAGCUAGUUGGUAAGGUAACGGCUUACCAAGGCGACGAUACGUAGCCGACCUGAGAGGGUGAUCGGCCACACUGGAACUGAGACACGGUCCAGACUCUACGGGAGGCAGCAGUU